AACUUAUCAAGAGAGAGCGAGGGCCAAGGACCCUAUGACCUCCGGCAACCUAGUAUCAUAAACAAAGGUGCUUAUCCUAAGCAAAGUAAAACUUUGAGCGAUGAGAA
RNAcentral lists this non-coding RNA (107 nucleotides) under Gemelliphila asaccharolytica. RNAcentral describes it as "Gemella asaccharolytica SAM-I sequence". It matches the Rfam family "SAM riboswitch aptamer (S box leader)". From Rfam's summary of the family: The SAM riboswitch is found upstream of a number of genes which code for proteins involved in methionine or cysteine biosynthesis in Gram-positive bacteria. Lineage: Bacteria; Bacillati; Bacillota; Bacilli; Caryophanales; Gemellaceae. The record is from RNAcentral.